Molecule: long non-coding RNA, 1287 nt
Organism: Halichondria panicea
Lineage: Eukaryota; Metazoa; Porifera; Demospongiae; Suberitida; Halichondriidae
Exons: 2
Source: RefSeq, a predicted model, not a curated record
CCGAAAGUUAUUGGUUGCCUAAAGCUUUUAAUAACCUGUACAAUACAAGACAGAUAAUGGCAGACGGCAGCAGUUGAAUUGAGAGUAGUCAGACUUGUACAAGCUGUCUUAAAUCGCUGCCACUCCUCGGUUCAAAGAAGGACUGCCAAGAUUUCUACGUUCAUCAGCUGUUCCAUGCUAAUCCACAAGUUAUGGCACAACAGACACUGGUACAAGGAUCUAUUAAAUCAAAAGGCUGGCUAAAUAGAUCUGUAUACUUGUCUUCUGUGUGUCUUUAGCUUUUGACACAUCAGAAUAAAUUGGAUAAUUUGCACGUGACAUUAAUAUUUAAUAGCAUUCCUGAUUUACACUAGCCUCGAUCCCAGGCCGAGUUUUCGCUUUUAUAACGGUUAGGCGAACAACUGGGCCUGGUACUAGUUGUCUGCGCAUGCGUCAGUCGUUCGUCAGAUUCUGACGAAUGGAUAUUCUCGUUCACUUUCGUGACAUUUAUAUUCGUGUACUAUCGUGUACUAGAAGUCAGUUCCCGUUUUAUCAUUAUUGGAAUCGAUUGGAAUGGCUCUUAGCUGAAGCUUCUCUCUUCUCUGAAGCUUAUUCUGAAGACUGAACAACAAGGGAAGAGGUAUAAAGCUUUGUCAAGCUUGUUAAGGUCAGAUAUUUUUGUGUGGGCCCUAUGGCUAUGCUAUCAAGUUUUGUUCAUGUUUGGCAAGAUCUACCGGUAGGUAGACUAUAGUUUCAUCAUUAAUAUGGUGGAUCAAGUGAAGAGUGUGAGCUAGAGAACUUGGUGCUGCCAUCAUCAGCUCGUCGACAAUGACACUAUAACACGAGAAAUUUAAUAUGUAUAGAUCUACACGUAUUUAGAAUGUCUACUUCUCUGUACAGGAGCAAUGGCUAAUAUCCAGCUAUCCCAACAGUGCUCCUCUUGGCUAUACUAACGGACGAGACUGGACAGUUUGAGGACUGGAGUAUGACCUGCUCAUUCGAGCGUUGCUGGGUAGCUCAGAGACAUCAAGAGAAUCUACGUUUUCUCAAGCAAAAUUUAACUGAGUUACGAGUUGGGGCCUAGAAUCAGAGAAGUCCAGCAGCCUGCUAAAUCUUUUUGAAACGUAAUUUGAAGGCAUUCAAUCAUCCUGAAGUUGCCCUGGGUCACUGUAAUUGUGCUGCAGCACAACUGGCAACUCCCCAGGCCUUUGUGAAGCAGCUCCCUAUGUGCAUCUUUUGUGUACUCCCUAUGUGCAUCUUUUGUGUACUCACUCUGUGCAUUUUCUGUGUACAAAUUUCGAUUAUUGA